This is a non-coding RNA of Triticum urartu, 2482 nucleotides long. NCBI's taxonomy places the organism in Eukaryota, Viridiplantae, Streptophyta, Magnoliopsida, Poales, Poaceae. The record is from RefSeq and is a predicted model, not a curated record.
GCAAAUCCUUUGGAAAAAUCAACACGGGCGCUCACUCGGGCAGUGGAGCGUUGGAGACAAAGGGAGUCCGAGGAGCCACAGCGUUCCGAUGGGCAGUCGUUGACGCACAGACAAGACAGAUGGGAUCCGACGGCGGCGGGUCCAGAUCUGUUCUGGAACAGGGGCGCCGAAGACUUAGGGUGCGUUUGGUUUCUUAGCAAAAGUCGUUUUUGCCUUGCUGGCUAGGCUUGCCCUUUGGUAGUGCAAAUAUAUCCUAGAUUUUGGGGGCAGCUAGCCUCGCUCGGCUAGAAAAUCCUCGCUCGCGGGGAGAGCCGAUUCGGCUCGCCCUCGACGGCAAAGCCGGAACGCGCGAAAAAAUCUAGGCGGAACUCUCCGGAUGGAUAAGUCCGUCUGCAACAAAUCCCUAAAUCUACGUUCUCCACUCCGACCUCCUCCUCUACUUUCCCCUCCGAUUUUUGCUCAUCCCAAUGAAAUCCUCCGAAGCUGCAGAGAUAAAUCGAGCGAGUUGGCUCAAGUUGCUUUCCACGAUUAGCUGAAGGCGCAUCAGAUUUGACAGGGAAAGCUUACAUCCGCCUUGCUCAAGUCUGCGUCCGCCCCCAUCCGCCUUGCUCAGGUCUAUGUCCGCCUCAUCUCUUGAUUCUCCUGUGUAUGUGUGUGCACUUUUCUUGACAAUAGAUUAGCUGGUUCAGAAAUUGAUUAGUACUAGAAGCAACAAAUCGUAAAUACUAUCUUUCUAUACUCCCCGUCAUCUUAUCCAAGGCUGGAUUCUUGUUGGGUGACCUGGCUUCGGGAUUAGAUUGGUACGGCUAAGGUGAUAGCAAACUGUAGUAUAAUGCCACUGUGGCGUUGCGGUUGGGAAGGAUACUGUUGUUGACAGGCACCCAGCUCUUGAUUUUUAUUCCAAACCAGACUCCAAUUAAGUAGCUUAUAGGAGUGCAUGACAGGAAUUGAUUUUACUGGAACAUGUAUGAUGCAUCUGCAUCUGAAUCCUUAAUUUGGUUUGUACUGAAUAUGCAUACAGAGCUAUCUACAUAGCAGGCAUCUGAACUGAUUCAUUAGUUCUGCGUAUGUAUUUUCUAGUGCCUACAUCUUAUUUUCAUUUAUAUCAACAAAGGUUUGUCUACGGUAGUCCUGGACUGUGUAUAUACUACGUGUUGUGUGGGUUAUUAAUAUUUGAUCUUCUUUGAUUUAUUUAUAGAUGGACGACAGUGCGCAAAUUAACAGAAAAAUUGCGUUCUUCAGUGCUUUUGUAGUGGCAUAUUGUUCAUUGAUCAUAUAUCUAAGCAACUCUAGUCACCCUACAAGAUACUCAUUAUUAGAGAGAAAUAAAUAAAGAAUGGCGUAUCUACGAAAAUUGUAUUGCGGUGAGGAGAAACACUGCAUUGGUGAAUUGCGCAUGGGAAAAUCAGUGUUCUUCAAACUAUGUGAUAAAUUACGGAGUAUGGGUCCACUUAAAGAUACAUGGCAUUGUACUGUAUAGGAGCAAGUUGCCAUGUUCCUCACUACAGUAGGGCAUCAUAAGAAAAAUAUCGACAUUAGUUUCUAUUUCACAAGGUCAGGUGAGACAGUGAGUCGUUACUUCAACAGAGUUUUAUUUGCAAUUGGGAAACUUGGACCAGAAAUGCUUAGGCAUCGAACAAUUGAUACACCAUCAAAGAUUGAAGGCAACCCACGAUUUGAUCCGUAUUUUAAGGACUGUAUUGGUGCUAUUGAUGGUACACAUGUUCCAUGUAAUGUUCCAUCUCGGAUAGUCGACAGAUUUCGUGGCAGGAAACCAUUCCCUACCCAAAAUGUUCUUGCGGCGGUCGACUUUGAUUUGUUAUUCACUUAUGUUUGUGCGGGCUAGGAGGGUUCGUCCCACGAUUCAACUGUUUUACGACAUUCUCUUGAGCAUCCAAAUGGCCUUAGAGUCACUGAAGGUAAAUACUAUCUUGCGGAUGCGGGUUAUGCAGCUAGGAGAGGAUUCCUACCACCGUUCCGUCAAACUCAAUAUCAUUUGCGUGAAUGGAGGGGUAAUAAUAGACCCCGCACCCAGAAUGAGCUAUUCAACUUAAGGCACUCAUCCCUUCGUACUACCGUUGAAAGGCAUUUGGAACAUUAAAGAACCGUUUCAAAGUUCUGACAACUAGGCCUUACUAUCCCUUUCCUUCACAAGUAUGAGUCGUCAUAGCAUGUUGUAUCCUUCACAACUGGAUAUUACUAAACGGGGGUCCUGAUGAACUAGUCUACAUUGAGCACAACUGGUUUGAGCAAUAUCCAAGAUCAGCUGGCCGUGUCCAACGGGAUUUACGUGAGGAACAAAUGGAGGUACUUAGAGAUAGGGAUACCAUGGCGGCCAAUAUGUGGAGAAAUAGGCAUAAUGUUAAACGUGGUUGAUUUUUUUCAAGCUUUAUGUAUGAGUUCUUGAUUUUAAGUUGUAUUACCACUUAGAAGAACAACUUGUGUGUUUUCUUUCUUCAACUUGUAACUAUGAUUUAUUUCC